Molecule: ribosomal RNA, 431 nt
Filed under: uncultured bacterium
Lineage: Bacteria
Description: partial 16S ribosomal RNA
Rfam family: Bacterial small subunit ribosomal RNA
Source: RNAcentral
AACGAACGCUGGCGGCAGGCUUAACACAUGCAAGUCGAACGCCCCGCAAGGGGAGUGGCAGCCGGGUGAGUAACGCGUGGGAAUCUACCCAUCCCUACGGAAUAACGCAUGGAAACGUGUGCUAAUACCGUAUACGCCCUCCGGGGGAAAGAUUUAUCGGGGAUGGAUGAGUCCGCGUUGGAUUAGCUAGUUGGUGGGGUAAAGGCCUACCAAGGCGACGAUCCAUAGCUGGUCUGAGAGGAUGAUCAGACACAUUGGGACUGAGACACGGCCCAAACUCCUACGGGAGGCAGCAGUGGGGAAUAUUGGACAAUGGGCGCAAGCCUGAUCCAGCCAUGCCGCGUGAGUGAUGAAGGCCUUAGGGUUGUAAAGCUCUUUCACCGGAGAAGAUAAUGACGGUAUCCGAAGAAGAAGCCCCGGCUAACUUCGUG